AAACAUCGCCUCCUGCAGUAUAUAGGAGGUCCAGCCUGCCCAGUGACCAAGUUAAACGGCCGCGGUACCCUAACCGUGCGAAGGUAGCGCAAUCACUUGUUCUUUAAAUGAGGACUAGUAUGAAUGGCAUCACGAGGGUUACACUGUCUCCCACCUCUAAUCAGUGAAACUGAUCUCCCCGUGAAGAAGCGGGGAUAAAACUAUAAGACGAGAAGACCCCAUGGAGCUUCAAACCCGGCAUCAACCAUUAACAUUAAUACCACAUUAAAUAAAUGGACCUGACUGCUGGUUUUAGGUUGGGGUGACCGCGGAGCAUAACAAAACCUCCAUGAUGAACGACCUCCUCUCUAAUCCGAGAGCCACCACUCAAAGAAUCAAAAAAUUGACAUUUAUUGACCCAAACUAUUUUGAUCAACGAACCAAGUUACCCUGGGGAUAACAGCGCAAUCCAUUUCAAGAGCCCCUAUCGACAAAUGGGUUUACGACCUCGAUGUUGGAUCAGGGUAUCCUAGUGGUGCAGCCGCUACUAAAGGUUCGUUUGUUCAACGAUUAAAACCCUACGUGAUCU
This 568-nucleotide ribosomal RNA is filed under the name Gastrophryne olivacea (western narrow-mouthed toad). RNAcentral describes it as "partial 16S ribosomal RNA". It matches the Rfam family "Bacterial large subunit ribosomal RNA", at positions 1811 to 2606 of the family's 2925-position model. The record is from RNAcentral. Lineage: Eukaryota; Metazoa; Chordata; Amphibia; Anura; Microhylidae.